This 414-nucleotide ribosomal RNA is filed under the name uncultured bacterium. Its description in RNAcentral is "bacterial SSU rRNA". It matches the Rfam family "Bacterial small subunit ribosomal RNA", at positions 29 to 439 of the family's 1533-position model. The record is from RNAcentral.
AGUGAACGCUGGCGGCAGGCCUAAUACAUGCAAGUCGAACGGCAGCACAGCAGAGCUUGCUCUGUGGGUGGCGAGUGGCGGACGGGUGAGGAAUACGUGGGAAUCUGCCCAGUCGUGGGGGAUAACGUAGGGAAACUUACGCUAAUACCGCAUGCGCCCUUCGGGGAAAGCCGGGGACCUUCGGGCCUGGCGCGAUUGGAUGAGCCCACGUCGGAUUAGCUAGUUGGCGGGGUAAAGGCCCACCAAGGCGACGAUCCGUAGCUGGUCUGAGAGGAUGAUCAGCCACACUGGAACUGAGACACGGUCCAGACUCCUACGGGAGGCAGCAGUAGGGAAUAUUGGACAAUGGGCGCAAGCCUGAUCCAGCCAUGCCGCGUGAGUGAAGAAGGCCCUCGGGUUGUAAAGCUCUUUUGU